This 253-nucleotide ribosomal RNA is filed under the name uncultured bacterium. RNAcentral describes it as "partial 16S ribosomal RNA". It matches the Rfam family "Bacterial small subunit ribosomal RNA", at positions 524 to 776 of the family's 1533-position model. The record is from RNAcentral.
GACAGAGGUUGCAAACGUUGUUCGGAAUUACUGGGCAUAAAGCGCACGUAGGUGGUCCGCUAAGUCGAUUGUGAAAUUCCCCGGCUCAACCGGGGAACGGCACUCGAUACUGGCGGGCUUGAGGUCCGGAGGGGUGAGUGGGACUCCUGGUGGAGCGGUGAAAUGCGUAGAUAUCAGGAGGAACACCGGUGGCGAAAGCGGCUCACUGGCCGGAAUCUGACACUGAGGUGCGAAAGCUAGGGUAGCAAACGGG